UGAACGUGUGGGUAGAGGGUGAGGGCUGAGGCUUCCUGUACGUAGUAGCUGCGUGUGUGGAUGCCGUUGAACACAUGAACACGUUUAAUGUUCUCCUUCGUUUGACUCCUGUGAACUUUAAUGUGUGAUAAUCAGUGCAUCUCAUGGACGUGUUAAGACAGAGGUGUUUUGUUUCCACAGUGGAAACAAACUGCCCAAAUCCUUCACUCAGUCUCGUUCUGUCCACGUCGGCGCAGGGUCUUCUCGGCCAUUACUGGAGGCCUCGUUCAUUAACCGAGCGCAGACGCACGCGAUGGCAGCAAACGAGAGGCCCAGCGAGUGGGAGGGAGCCUGCGUUCAAAUGAGAGUUACAUCAGGCAUACGGCGUCGAGACGCUCCUUCCCACUCACAAAUACAUCAGACAGACUUUUAAAAGACUCCAGCCGAACUGAAGAAGCAGAGCGUUUGUCAACCUGUGCCGUUAAAUAGAUCUUCAGCCUAUAAUCAGAUUCUGCUCCAUCAGGCCUGUGACAGCAGAAAAGCCUCCAUGAUAUUACAUCCUGCUAUUACAAUACAGUUUAACAGCGUGAGUCAUUUCAUGCUGUUACCUAAAUGGAUGAGGAUAUAGGGCUGGUGGUUGAUUUAGUGACGUAGCAGCACCAGGCCACAACCAAAGCGUCUGUCACGGCUUCCGAGGUAGCGGACCCACAUGCACAGCGAAGACAAGACUUGAGUGGUAACGCAGUUUACUUAAUUCGUGGUCAGGCAAACGGAGGUCAAUACACAGAACAGGCAGGUACAGUACAGACAGGGUUUAGACAAGCGGUGGUCACAGGGCAGGCUAGGGUCAACUCACGGCAAGGCAGGAUCAUAGACGAGACAAGAAUCAGGGUCAGGAGAAGCAAGGUCAUACACGGAUUCAAGAUCAUGAAUAUACACGCUGGAUUGCUGGCUAAUGCACAUAGACAAUCUGGCAACCAGUUGGGGUGAGAGGUGGUGCUUAAGUAGUGGCAAUUGAUGGCUAGAUGAGGAACAGGUGUGUGGUCUGGAGCAGGAAGUAAAGCUGGCAGUAACUAAUAAUGGGUGAGGCAGGAAGUGAUAAUAACAUAAACCCGGAAAUGAACAUAAACAGUGGUGCAGUGACUGAGUCCAUGACAGCGUCAUUACUUCAUGUCUGUUCUCUGCCUCUUGUUGUUUCUGCAUCUGAAAUAGAUGCACGUUGUCUCUGUACCGAUGAGCUCAUGUAGGUACACGGUGGUUGCAGCAGCCACUGCUGGUUCACAGUACAAGUAAAACUAUGUCUUGAAAAGCAAGGAACUUCCAAAAUGGCAAAUACAGAUGAUGAUGUUUAAAAUGCUGCAAUGCCCGAUCUGGCGAUGACAGUGAAGUAUAUUUGCUAUGUGUUUUUGCAUGUUUGAAUCUUGUCAGGUGUGACUGAUCAUGCUGCCUGUUCCCCUGUAAAGCUGUGAGUUUCCAGUUCCUUGGGUGAAAGCUGCAGAGUUUAAACACACUGGAAAUCUAUCAGAUGUGUGGUCAACACAUGCCAAUGCAUGAACAGGUGCUAGCUAAGCUCCCACACUGCAAUAGAAACGCUCAGUGCCUCUUUUAGUGCAUUUUGACAUUUUGCGGUCGAUGUGGUUAUUAACCACAUGCUGCUCUCUGUGCAGAAGUGUUUGACUGUUGCACGGCACAAACAUGCACUUUAAACUAGCAUAAAAACAUAAAAACACUUUCAUAUAUAUGUUGAAAGAAUACUGUUUUAACUUCAUGUUCCGUCGUAAGUGAGACACAUGUCGCUGUGAACAGCUUCCAACCACUUCCUCUCCUCUGCACCUCCUUCACAAACACAUCUGAGAGCUGAUGGUGAGGUGUCACUCUGUCUGUGUCUGUCUGAGGGCAAGGAUGUUCAGCAGAGGCCAAGCUCUUCUCUCCGUUCGCCUCCUGCUGAUGAUCCAGGUCCAUGCAGCGUUAGAGCAAGUCGAGCACAGGACUGAACAGGUGUCUAGAGGAGACUCCAUCACACUGAUGUGCAACAUAUCUACAGAAAAUGCAACACAAAUCACAUGGACUAAAGACAUGUUUUAUUUUAGUUAUUCAAUUAACAAGAAUCAGACUUAUUCAAAUUUAACCUCUCAUAAAGUCAUAAUAGAAGCUGAGGCUCCUACAGAACUGACUAUAUCUGAUGUUCAGCAUGAAGACGCAGGACUUUACAUAUGUAAUGUAACUACUCUACGCUGCAUAAAGAGCAUCAGGUGGAAUUUAACUGUGUCUGAGAAAGUUGGAGGUGUCACAGAACGAUUGUGGCUUUUUCUCACACCUGUAGCUGGACUUCUGUUAUGUGGAGUAAUAGUAGCGGUCUGCAUCUGCAGAUCCUGUAAAACACGAUCACAAAAACAGGAUCCAGUCGAGAACCAGUUUCAGUCCCAAUCAGGAAGAGAGGCAAGUAGAUUCCUUAAACGCCGCCACAGUCAUAGUUUGAAACGCCUUUGACCCUCAUACAUUCUUACUUAUCGUUACAGAGGGUUCCUUACCGAACACAAGGUGUCGAGGAUCAUGGGAAUGAAGACGACACACAUUUCAUGGAGAGACUCAACUCAAUAUAUCAUAUCAACUGAACCGACUAAUCUAUCCAUGAGAACACAGAGAAUGGCUGAAGGUCUGGAGGUGGAGUCGGGGGGUCCUUCACCAAACUGUGGAGGUGAUCUACAAUCUAGUUCAGUCCUUGAGCAAGGCACUGAUCUCUGCUGCUGCUAUUGGAUCACAUUGCAAAUGAACAAGACGUGAAGAGAAAUCAGAUGUGAUGUUUACUGCCCACUUCCAGCCUCUGUGCUUAAGGAAACGUGAGGACCGAUUGAUACCUUUGACUCAUACGCUGUUGAUACAUAAACAAGGAUCUUCACCAGAUGUUGAGGAUGAUUGCAGCAUCCUUAUUUUCUAGUUUUUACAUUUCCUGUGUAGUGCUGGUUGGGUUGAUAUGUUUCUUUGCAUAUUAUACCGAAUGUCAGCUCGUCUUUCCUGCAGUAAGACUGCGUGGAGGUGAGUUUGUUGUGUCAUUUAAAUAAACUGAACUCAAGCAGCUGUAAA
Long non-coding RNA from Betta splendens (Siamese fighting fish), 3063 nucleotides. RefSeq lists it as uncharacterized. The record is from RefSeq and is a predicted model, not a curated record. The transcript is spliced from 4 exons. Lineage: Eukaryota; Metazoa; Chordata; Actinopteri; Anabantiformes; Osphronemidae.